Equus caballus (horse) is the source of this 3059-nucleotide long non-coding RNA. RefSeq lists it as uncharacterized. The record is from RefSeq and is a predicted model, not a curated record. NCBI's taxonomy places the organism in Eukaryota, Metazoa, Chordata, Mammalia, Perissodactyla, Equidae.
GCUGAUGUGGAUGCUUCGGGAACUUGUUCAGUGUUUGGAGACGAGGUGGGAUGAAAAGCACUCAUCUCUAACCACUCUGCCGUGGUGGGAUGCUCUCACCGCGAGCCAUGUGUGGGAGAUAAGCAGAUCAAGGGAACUGCAGGUUCCUAGCCUCCGUCCUGUGUUCACUCCGAGGCAUAAAACACUGUGAGCCUAUGUUUAGUAUUUAUUGAAAUGGCUAAUUCUCGUGCCCAGCGCAUGCAGUCGAAGUACUGCAAUUGCUUUAUAUCUGGCCACCAUGCUUCUGCUGCCCUUUCAAUCUGGUUUCAACUCUGCACAGAGAGGUCCCAUUAAAAAAUAAGUUUGGUCUUGACACUCUUUUGUUCAGAAUCCACCAAUGAUUUUUCGUCUCAUGAACACUAAAAACCAAGUGCUACAAUGCAAGAUCCUACGUGAUCUGGCCCCCCUUUACCUUGCUGACCCAUCUAUUCUUUCUCUCCUCAUUCACUCUGCUAUAUUCCCACUAUCCUCAUUCCUAAAAGACCAGGCAUAUUCCCACCCCAGGGCCUUUGCAUUUGCUGUUUCCUCUGCCUGAAAAAUUGUACCCCUGAUGCAUACAUGGUUAGCUCCCUCAAUUCUUUCAGGUCUUUCCUCUCCAAAGUCACUUUCACACAAUGGCCCCUUCCCUGACCAUCCUGCCUACAGUUUCAACCCGGCCCCCACUGCUGAACUCAUCAAAUCCCUGUUCCCUGCUUUGGUUUACUGAUAUGCUCUACCUGACUGCUCUAUUUUAUUUUUCUCGUGUUGGUACUCUUUCCCCCUACACUAGAAUGAAAGAUCCAUGAAGACGGAGCUUUCGAUUGUUUUGUUUACUACUGUAUCCUCUGUGCCUAAAGCACUGCUUGGCACAUUUGUUAAGUCACUUGUUAAGUGAAUAAAUGAAAGAAAGUUAAGUGCAUAUAUGAUACAAAAUCACCGUAGCAACGGCCAGUUCAAGGCUUUCAGUUGGUGUAUCAUUAGAAUAGUUCCUAGAUUUCCUCCCAAGACACAUAUUUUCUUUACACGAAGCUUUUCACUACUGCAUCUUUUCCCCAGAUAAUAAACUGUUGGGAUUGUACGACAUUGCAGCUAACAUCUCUGAGUUUCACGGUUUUCUUUUUUAAGUAGAAAAACAGAAACAUUAGAACAGGUCUCUUCCAGAGCUGUGACUUAGAGAUUCUCAGGAGCUAUAAAAAUGGUUCUCCAAGCUGGUGCCCGGGAAGCUUCAUCAAUACAGAGGAUCCAGGCCUCAUUGCUGAAAUUCCGCUUGAGUGAAGCUAGGAGGGUGUUGGGAAUCUAUAUUUCUACAAAGCUCUCCAGGUAAUUCUGAUGAUCAGCCAGGCUUUUGCAAUUGAAUUUCUGCUCAGCUACAAUAGUGAAUUAAGCUUUUGGCUAAAUCCUAAAAGGUAGGCCAGAAAUCUCCCAGGCAAGCCUCUUCUUGACCAGGCAGCAAUACACACAGUGGGGGAAGAGAGAUCACAUCUAAUAUACUCUGUACGCCCCUCCCUUGUUAUCUGACGUGGCUCUGCCUGUAAACAUUAUUAGCUUACUGCAUGCAUCCACGGUCCUCAAGGCUCCCGCUCCUCCUCUAAUUAGCUUAAAUCUCAGCAGCAUCUUGCCAGUUCUAACUUGGCUGAAUUAUCUCCAGAAUAUCCAGAGACAAUGAUGACUGUUUAGAGGAACUUGUUCUCAUUGGAGAUAACAGGAAACCAGCUUUGUCACCCAUUAUUACGCGCUGUUAAGGAGGACACACAAUUUAUGCUUUAAAGGGAGAUUACUGGAAGAAGAGCCUGAAGACACUGUGUCAGGCUGUUGAAUGCUCUCCUGAAGACCAAUCCAACAGCAGAUGUAUCACCUGACUUUCACUGCCAAGGAUGAUAUAUGUUCCACGAAUGCACACGGAUGGAAGGCAUGUGAAAACCGGGGGUGAUGAUGAAUAAAUUGGGCAGAAGAAGUUUCCAGAAACAUCUGGUGGCAAGUCUGAUUUUUCAGAGGAUGCUGGUCCCCCUCAUCACAAAACACAGAAGUCUCUCAACCAGGGGUUGAAAAUGAAAAUUCCUGCAUUGGCCAGUCAGCUGAAUGUAAGUGAGUAAAGGGGGCCAGUGAAGAUGGUCGUGAACUCUGGUACACACACCCCAUUGGAAGGAGGCUGCCACAUGGCUCUAGCCAUUCCUCCCUGUGCGUGAAAAAAAUAAAAAUUUGAAUUGCUAAAAUGCAAAAUCUCUGGAUAUUUCAACUUUGAGGAACAAUUCUAGGCAAACUUUUGACUAGUUUUAUUAAAACAACAAUUUAAAAGCCUUACCAAGAUGGAAUCAAACAUUGAAAGCCCAAACGGAUGCAAAACAUUGGUUCUAACACUUUAAGUGUGCACAAGAACUGUGUGGAAGCUUACUAAACAUGUGGAUUCUAGACCCUCCCCAGAGAUUCCGAGUCAGUGCAUCUGGGAUGGGCCCAGGAUUCUGAGUUUGUCUCUCUCCUUCAAAGUAAUUUUGAUGCAGAUUGACCUCAGGCUCAUUCUUUGAAACCCUCUGUCUUAAAAGAUAUAGAAUGAAGGAUUGGACAGAACUUUUUAGGUGUUAACUGGUAGCUAGUAAAGGGGAUCAGAACAUGCCACCCCAAAAUAUGCUGCUUUGGCAUAUUGAUUAUUUUGAGAAACGGCAGAUGCAGUAACAGCUCUCUGCCUUCUCCGUUUCCUGCUAAAAGCGGAACAUAAAUUUCCAGUAAGAAAGAUGCCCUCCCUGUACCAGAAAGAGAACAUUCUUUUCACUGGUCACAGGCCGUGGAUGCCAAGAUGAAUCUAUGCAAACAAAGCUUACUAAAUAACCUUUCUCUUCCGUUCGUUUCUCCCAAAUAUUUACCUUCCUACAAUUUGCUACUCCUAGAAACCCACACUCCUUUUCCUUUGUCUCCAAUUUAUUGCCCUUUGUUAAAAUGGUGUUUAAGCUCUUGGGCUUAACCACUUUGUUGGGGUGUUCAUUUCAUUCCUAUGGAGCCCCCUAUGUUACAUAAAAAUAGUAACAUCAAAUAAAUUUGUAUGCUUU